This 237-nucleotide long non-coding RNA is filed under the name Mytilus galloprovincialis (Mediterranean mussel). The record is from RNAcentral. Lineage: Eukaryota; Metazoa; Mollusca; Bivalvia; Mytilida; Mytilidae.
GCGGUUCUUAAUAAUUUCUAAAUUGAUCAACGGGGAACUAUUGAAAGGUAUGUUAUAAAGCAUGUCAAUACCGAAGCAAUAGAUACUGAACUGAUGAUACCCACUAACACUCAUGCAGCAGUAAAUAUCCAGUGCUAGACAAUGAAAAUAACACACAAUAAUUUGUAAUUGUCAUCAGGCACGCUCAUACUCACAAUUGUAAAGGCAAAGGGUAUAUAAUCACCAGAAGUCAUGGAU